GACGAACGCUGGCGGCGUGCUUAACACAUGCAAGUCGAGCGGUAAGGCCCUUUCGGGGGUACACGAGCGGCGAACGGGUGAGUAACACGUGGGUGACCUGCCUUUAGCUCUGGGAUAAGCCUGGGAAACCGGGUCUAAUACCGGAUAUGACUCCGCGGCGCAUGUUGUGGGGUGGAAAGCCUUGUGCGGCUGGAGAUGGGCCCGCGGCCUAUCAGCUUGUUGGUGGGGUGAUGGCCUACCAAGGCGACGACGGGUAGCCGGCCUGAGAGGGCGACCGGCCACACUGGGACUGAGACACGGCCCAGACUCCUACGGGAGGCAGCAGUGGGGAAUCUUGCGCAAUGGGCGAAAGCCUGACGCAGCGACGCCGCG
Molecule: ribosomal RNA, 372 nt
Filed under: uncultured bacterium
Lineage: Bacteria
Description: bacterial SSU rRNA
Rfam family: Bacterial small subunit ribosomal RNA
Source: RNAcentral